RNAcentral lists this transfer RNA (84 nucleotides) under Solidesulfovibrio magneticus RS-1. RNAcentral describes it as "tRNA-Thr (CGT) (tRNA-Thr-CGT-2-1)". The stretch from base 21 to 81 matches the Rfam family "tRNA". Rfam says of the family: Transfer RNA (tRNA) molecules are approximately 80 nucleotides in length. Their secondary structure includes four short double-helical elements and three loops (D, anti-codon, and T loops). Further hydrogen bonds mediate the characteristic L-shaped molecular structure. tRNAs have two regions of fundamental functional importance: the anti-codon, which is responsible for specific mRNA codon recognition, and the 3' end, to which the tRNAs corresponding amino acid is attached (by aminoacyl-tRNA synthetases). tRNAs cope with the degeneracy of the genetic code in two manners: having more than one tRNA (with a specific anti-codon) for a particular amino acid; and 'wobble' base-pairing, i.e. permitting non-standard base-pairing at the 3rd anti-codon position. Lineage: Bacteria; Pseudomonadati; Thermodesulfobacteriota; Desulfovibrionia; Desulfovibrionales; Desulfovibrionaceae. The record is from RNAcentral.
GCAGGCCGAGGCGCUGACCGGCCUGUUUGGGCCAGCUGAUUCGUAAUCAGCAGGUCUGGAGUUCGAGUCUCCAUGCUGGCUCCA